Vulpes vulpes (red fox) is the source of this 112-nucleotide small nuclear RNA. The record is from Ensembl. Lineage: Eukaryota; Metazoa; Chordata; Mammalia; Carnivora; Canidae.
GUGCUCAUGUCAGCAGCACAUACACUAAAAUUGGAACAAUACAGAGAAGAUUGGCAUGGCCCUUGAGCAAGAAUAGUUGCAGAGUUUCUAACUUGUAACAUAGCAAUUAUUU